Nannospalax galili (Upper Galilee mountains blind mole rat) is the source of this 390-nucleotide non-coding RNA. Lineage: Eukaryota; Metazoa; Chordata; Mammalia; Rodentia; Spalacidae. The record is from the annotation of a RefSeq genome assembly.
CACAGGCCUACAUUGAACAUGGGAGUCCUGUCUGAACUCUUUUCUCUUCUGCUGCUCUGGAGCCCAGCCACCACUGGGAGCCCGGUGAUGACACAGUCUCCAGCCUUCUUGUCUGUGGUUAUAGGAGAGAGCAUCUCUAUCAUUUGCAAGGCCAGUGAGAGUGUUAGUGAUUAUGUGACUUGGUAUCAGCAGAAACCAGGUCAGCUCCCCAAGAUUCUCAUAUAUGAUGCUGAUAACCAAUAUUCUGGUGUUCCAGACCGUUUCACUGGAAUACAGAGUGGAACAGAAUUCACUUUAAAAAUCAGCAAGCUAACAGUAGAUGAUAUUGGCAGCUACUAUUGUCAACAGGGCUACACAGUCCCGCUCACAGUGUUUCAGCCCUGUGCAUAA